RNAcentral lists this ribosomal RNA (272 nucleotides) under Escherichia coli. RNAcentral describes it as "partial 16S ribosomal RNA". It matches the Rfam family "Bacterial small subunit ribosomal RNA", at positions 1 to 269 of the family's 1533-position model. Lineage: Bacteria; Pseudomonadati; Pseudomonadota; Gammaproteobacteria; Enterobacterales; Enterobacteriaceae. The record is from RNAcentral.
AAAUUGAAGAGUUUGAUCAUGGCUCAGAUUGAACGCUGGCGGCAGGCCUAACACAUGCAAGUCGAACGGUAACAGGAAUCAGCUUGCUGUUUCGCUGACGAGUGGCGGACGGGUGAGUAAUGUCUGGGAAACUGCCUGAUGGAGGGGGAUAACUACUGGAAACGGUAGCUAAUACCGCAUAACGUCGCAAGACCAAAGAGGGGGACCUUCGGGCCUCUUGCCAUCGGAUGUGCCCAGAUGGGAUUAGCUUGUUGGUGGGGUAACGGCUCACC